Molecule: ribosomal RNA, 433 nt
Filed under: uncultured bacterium
Lineage: Bacteria
Description: partial 16S ribosomal RNA
Rfam family: Bacterial small subunit ribosomal RNA
Source: RNAcentral
AACGAACGCUGGCGGCAGGCUUAACACAUGCAAGUCGAACGGAUCCUUCGGGAUUAGUGGCAGACGGGUGAGUAACGCGUGGGAACGUACCCUUUGCUACGGAAUAACUCAGGGAAGCUUGAGCUAAUACCGUAUGUGCCCUACGGGGGAAAGAUUUAUCGGCAAAGGAUCGGCCCGCGUUGGAUUAGCUAGUUGGUGGGGUAAUGGCCUACCAAGGCGACGAUCCAUAGCUGGUCUGAGAGGAUGAUCAGCCACACUGGGACUGAGACACGGCCCAGACUCCUACGGGAGGCAGCAGUGGGGAAUAUUGGACAAUGGGCGCAAGCCUGAUCCAGCCAUGCCGCGUGAGUGAUGAAGGUCUUAGGAUUGUAAAGCUCUUUCACCGGUGAAGAAAAUGACGGUAGCCGGAGAAGAAGCCCCGGCUAACUUCGUG